CAGCCAGGUUUGAGGUGAAACCAUUCAUACCAGGCUUGUUUACCCCAAAUUUGAGAAUUUAACGCCACUCAUCUCCAUAUACUGUGUGCUAUGUGGUAGUCACCACCGUAAGUGUCUUAUAAAUAAAUAUCACCUCAUUGGCUCCCCAUCAUGGUCUUUUCAGGAGAGUCUGAUCAUCAUCUCUAUUUUAGGGAUGGAAAAUGGAGGUACAGAGGGGUCAAGGUGGUUGUCCAAGGUCCCAGGAGGCCUGGCACAAGAUACGGAUGUAAUAUAAUGGAGAAACAGACUGGUACUUGCCCUUAGGGGCCCUGCAGUCCAGUGCCCAGGUCAACAGGAGUGUCCUUCUGCAGAGGGAUGGGAGCAAAUGCUUCAGGCUCUGUGAGCCAUGGGGUCUCUGCUGCAGCUCCCAUGGUGUGUAAGCAGCUCCAGCUCCAGCUACUGUGUAAAAGAAUCUCUGGAGGAUCCUUGCAAUGGAGGAUUUGAAAUUGUAUUGGGGAGCAACAACAGUCACUCCUCCAAGUCACCAGGUGUCGCUGGUGUGCCAAAGCGGCGAAGUGUCAGAGUCAAAUUUUCCAGCUGGGUGUCUACUGGAAUCCAUCAGUCCUGUUUCUUCCUCAGCCUGGCUGUUUUGGAUCUACUAAAUCUUUUGAAUUUAGGCUCAGAAAUCAGUGUAUGCAAAAGUUCCUACAUAAAACCAUUCAUUCUUUGGGGUGGG
This 715-nucleotide long non-coding RNA is filed under the name Heterocephalus glaber (naked mole-rat). RNAcentral describes it as "lncRNA (ENSHGLG00000039314.1)". The record is from RNAcentral. Lineage: Eukaryota; Metazoa; Chordata; Mammalia; Rodentia; Bathyergidae.